This 520-nucleotide ribosomal RNA is filed under the name uncultured bacterium. RNAcentral's name for it is "bacterial SSU rRNA". It matches the Rfam family "Archaeal small subunit ribosomal RNA", at positions 345 to 865 of the family's 1478-position model. The record is from RNAcentral.
AACCUCCGCAAUGUGAGAAAUCGCGACGGGGGGAUCCCAAGUGCCAUUCUUAACGGGAUGGCUUUUCAUUAGUGUAAAGAGCUUUUGGAAUAAGGGCUGGGCAAGACCGGUGCCAGCCGCCGCGGUAACACCGGCAGCUCUAGUGGUAGCAGUUUUUAUUGGGCCUAAAGCGUCCGUAGCCGGUUUAAUAAGUCUCUGGUGAAAUCCUGUAGCUUAACUGUGGGAAUUGCUGGAGAUACUAUUAGACUUGAGACCGGGAGAGGUUAGAGGUACUCCCAGGGUAGAGGUGAAAUUCUGUAAUCCUGGGAGGACCGCCUGUUGCGAAGGCGUCUAACUGGAACGGUUCUGACGGUGAGGGACGAAAGUUAGGGGCGCGAACCGGAUUAGAUACCCGGGUAGUCCUAACUGUAAACGAUGCGGACUUGGUGUUGGGGUGGCUUUGAGUUGUUCCGGUGCCGAAGGGAAGCUGUUAAGUCCGCCGCCUGGGAAGUACGGUCGCAAGACUGAAACUUAAAGAAUU